CACGUAGGGUGCGAGCGUUGUCCGGAAUUAUUGGGCGUAAAGAGCUCGUAGGCGGUGUGUCGCGUCGGCCGUGAAAACCUGGGGCUUAACUCUGGGCGUGCGGUCGAUACGGGCAUCACUGGAGUUCGGCAGGGGAGACUGGAAUUCCUGGCGUAGCGGUGAAAUGCGCAGAUAUCAGGAGGAACACCGGUGGCGAAGGCGGGUCUCUGGGCCGAUACUGACGCUGAGGAGCGAAAGCGUGGGGAGCGAACAGG
Molecule: ribosomal RNA, 254 nt
Filed under: uncultured bacterium
Lineage: Bacteria
Description: partial 16S ribosomal RNA
Rfam family: Bacterial small subunit ribosomal RNA
Source: RNAcentral